CCUACGGGAGGCAGCAGUGGGGAAUAUUGGACAAUGGGGGCAACCCUGAUCCAGCAAUGCCGCGUGUGUGAAGAAGGCCUUCGGGUUGUAAAGCACUUUUAUCAGGAAAGAAAUCCCACGGGUUAAUAGCCUGCUGGGGAUGACGGUACCUGAGGAAUAAGCACCGGCUAACUUCGUGCCAGCAGCCGCGGUAAUAAGGGCGAUCC
This 206-nucleotide ribosomal RNA is filed under the name uncultured bacterium. RNAcentral describes it as "partial 16S ribosomal RNA". It matches the Rfam family "Bacterial small subunit ribosomal RNA", at positions 338 to 535 of the family's 1533-position model. The record is from RNAcentral.